This is a long non-coding RNA of Dreissena polymorpha, 969 nucleotides long. RefSeq lists it as uncharacterized. The transcript is spliced from 3 exons. The record is from RefSeq and is a predicted model, not a curated record. Lineage: Eukaryota; Metazoa; Mollusca; Bivalvia; Myida; Dreissenidae.
AUGCAUUUUCUGUCCAUCCGAUUGAUUCUGCAUACUUUUUAUCCAUGCGCUUUUAUGCGCACCCCAGUUAAAAAAAACCACCGGUUGCCUCGAUAUUGCGACGCUCUUUGAGUUACUUCCCCUGCUGAAAUACUCUUCAAAGGAGAUUGGCGCAAGUUAUAAAUUAAUUGAGAAAGUGCAGAAAUAUACCCAUAAAUUGGCCAUAAUACUACAACUACAAGAAGCAUUUUGAUGUCAGAGUCGUACUCACCGCAGGGCGCACAAGAUUUUUACUACGACUUCUGGGGUCAGGUCUCAGAGCCAGAGCCUGAGGCUGAACAGCCGGAUGCGGAGUAUAACGCUAGCCAUGAUUUGUUUGUGGUAUUGAAAACAACAGAUAUUUGUUUUGUUUUGGUGGUUGAUAAAAAUGUAUUUCAUGCUUGAUCCAGUGACAUGAAUGAGCACCAGAUGCAAUAUUUUCCAGUAGUAGGCAGUACUAGUGUUGGAGCGACCCUUUGACAUAUCUAUUGUCACGAAAUGAAAUGAAUUUUGAUCUUCAAACAUAUGAAAUAUUUUUAUUUUGCUCAGCUUAACUUCAGAAUUUUUUUUUACGGCAACUAUCAGAUGAAAAUUCGAUUUAUGUAUUUAGCAAACAGCAAGGUGACAAAAGAAUAAACUUAACUGUAGAAGAACUAGUUGUAAAUGUUAAAAAGUUGGUAACUGAUGCACACAGUAAGCCAUCUACCCAGCCUGCUGAUUGCACUCUGCUUGUUGGCCAGAAGGUGCGACACAGGUUUAACGAAAAUGAAGAAACUAGUGCAUUACAUUGGUCAAGUUAUAUCCCAGGUGCCAGGAUACAGUGAUUGGUACAAUAUCAAGUACUCCGGAGAUCCAGCCAUAUACACCUACCAGCUGUUAAAAGACUAUAGCCAGGGAGAUCUUGAAUUACUUGUUCAGUGAUUAAGGUGAUGAAUAUACUAUAGUAACACA